CCUACGGGUGGCAGCAGUGGGGAAUAUUGGACAAUGGGCGCAAGCCUGAUCCAGCAAUGCCGCGUGUGUGAAGAAGGCCUUCGGGUUGUAAAGCACUUUUAUCAGGAGCGAAAUGCCAUGGGUCAAUACCCCGUGGAGCUGACGGUACCUGAGGAAUAAGCACCGGCUAACUUCGUGCCAGCAGCCGCGGUAAUACGAAGGGUGCUUGCGUUAAUCGGAGGUACUGGGCGUAGAGGGUGCGUUGGGGGUUGAAAUCCCCGGGCUCAACCUGGGAAUGGCAAUGGAUACUGGCGGGCUAGAGUGUGUCAGAGGAUAGUGGAAUUCCCGGUGUAGCGGUGAAAUGCGUAGAGAUCGGGAGGAACAUCAGUGGCGAAGGCGGCCAUCUGGGACAACACUGACGCUGAAGCACGAAAGCGUGGGGAGCAAACAGGAUUAGAUACCCCGGUAGUC
This 450-nucleotide ribosomal RNA is filed under the name uncultured bacterium. Its description in RNAcentral is "partial 16S ribosomal RNA". It matches the Rfam family "Bacterial small subunit ribosomal RNA", at positions 338 to 795 of the family's 1533-position model. The record is from RNAcentral.